Molecule: non-coding RNA, 208 nt
Organism: Pelobates cultripes (western spadefoot toad)
Lineage: Eukaryota; Metazoa; Chordata; Amphibia; Anura; Pelobatidae
Source: the annotation of a GenBank genome assembly
CUUGAUUCAUCAGGCCAGGCAACCUUCUUCCAUUGCUCCAUGGUCCAGUUCUGACACUCACAUCCCAAUUGAAGGCACUUCUGGAAGUGGACAGAGGUCAUCAUGGGCACUCUGACCCCAUACACAGCAAACUACAAUGCACUCUGUGCUCUGACUCCUUUCUAUCAUGGCAAGCAUUUUGUUUGUCCAUCAAUUUGAGUUACAGUAG